RNAcentral lists this ribosomal RNA (371 nucleotides) under uncultured organism. RNAcentral describes it as "partial 16S ribosomal RNA". It matches the Rfam family "Bacterial small subunit ribosomal RNA", at positions 527 to 896 of the family's 1533-position model. The record is from RNAcentral.
GUAGGUGGCAAGCGUUGUCCGGAAUUAUUGGGCGUAAAGCGCGCGCAGGCGGUUCUUUAAGUCUGAUGUGAAAGCCCACGGCUCAACCGUGGAGGGUCAUUGGAAACUGGAGAACUUGAGUACAGAAGAGGAAAGCGGAAUUCCACGUGUAGCGGUGAAAUGCGUAGAGAUGUGGAGGAACACCAGUGGCGAAGGCGGCUUUCUGGUCUGUAACUGACGCUGAGGCGCGAAAGCGUGGGGAGCAAACAGGAUUAGAUGCCCUGGUAGUCCACGCCGUAAACGACGAGUGCUAAGUGUUAGGGGGUUUCCGCCCCCCUUAGUGCUGCAGCUAACGCAUUAAGCACUCCGCCUGGGAUACGGCCGCAAGGCUG